This 252-nucleotide ribosomal RNA is filed under the name uncultured bacterium. RNAcentral describes it as "partial 16S ribosomal RNA". It matches the Rfam family "Bacterial small subunit ribosomal RNA", at positions 524 to 776 of the family's 1533-position model. The record is from RNAcentral.
UACGUAGGGAGCAAGCGUUGUCCGGAAUCAUUGGGCGUAAAGCGCGCGUAGGUGGCUUCGUAAGUCCGUUGUGAAAGUCAAAGGCUCAACCUUUGAAAGCCGAUGGAUACUGCGGAGCUAGAGUACGGAAGAGGCGAGUGGAAUCCUGGUGUAGCGGUGGAAUGCGCAGAUAUCAGGAGGAACACCAAUAGCGAAGGCAGCUCGCUGGGACGUUACUGACACUGAGGCGCGAAAGCGUGGGGAGCGAACAGG